RNAcentral lists this long non-coding RNA (579 nucleotides) under Capsicum annuum. RNAcentral's name for it is "long non-coding RNA (CANN_LNC010914)". Lineage: Eukaryota; Viridiplantae; Streptophyta; Magnoliopsida; Solanales; Solanaceae. The record is from RNAcentral.
UACAUUGUGCUGAAAUAUGGGAAGACUAUAAAAAGAAUAAUGUUUUUUUGAAGACUAUAAAAAGAAUGAGAACAAGUCAGAUGUUGUUGAGGACUUUCUUUCUGCUGAAGCAACUGUUGAUGCCAUCAAGUAUUCCAUGGACCUAUAUGCUUCUUACAUUGUGGGAUCAACGAGUUUUUCAAACAAAACAAAGGCAUAGUGAAGCUAUCCUGAAGCAAAUUGUUCAAACUUUACUGUGUAGGGUAAGCCUGCAACCCAGAUUAGCACAUAAAGUAGAAGAACUCAAUUUCUAUCCUUAGGCUAGCUUGUUUGAUGCUGGAGCAGUUAUGUUUUUUUCUUUGUUUUGGUUGAGUUCUGAACCUGGGACUAUGUCCAGGUUCCAGACUAUUAUUUGAGAAUUGUGUAAACUUCCUAUUUGGUAAAUAAUAAAGUUAGUUACCCAAAAAAAAAAAAAAGUUUGCCAUGGACCUGUAUGCUUCUUACAUUGUGGAAAGUUUGAGGCAGUGAUCUUGUUGAGGACAUGCCGUUGUCGGUAUUGAAAAUCUAAGAAGAGAAGCCGGUUGACUUGUUGAAGAUGCC